ACUCAAAUGAAUAGACGGGGGCCCGCACAAGCGGCGGAGCAUGUGGCUUAAUUCGAGGCAACGCGAAGAACCUUACCUGGGCUUGACAUCAGGGGAAAACUUGCAGAGAUGCAAGGUCCGUAAGGGCCCCUGACAGGUGGUGCAUGGCUGUCGUCAGCUCGUGCCGUGAGGUGUUGGGUUAAGUCCCGCAACGAGCGCAACCCCCGUCUCUAGUUGCCAGCACAUGAUGGUGGGGACUCUAGAGAGACUGCCGGCGUUGAGCCGGAGGAAGGUGGGGAUGAGGUCAAGUCAUCAUGCCCCUUAUGUCCAGGGCUGCACACAUGCUACAAUGCCGACCACAAAGGGCUGCAACCCCGCGAGGGUGAGCGAAUCCCAAAAAAGUCGGCUAAGUUCGGAUCGCAGUCUGCAACUCGACUGCGUGAAGUCGGAGUCGCUAGUAAUCGCAGAUCAGCAACGCUGCGGUGAAUACGUUCCCGGGCCUUGUACACACCGCCCGU
This 497-nucleotide ribosomal RNA is filed under the name uncultured bacterium. RNAcentral's name for it is "partial 16S ribosomal RNA". It matches the Rfam family "Bacterial small subunit ribosomal RNA", at positions 899 to 1397 of the family's 1533-position model. The record is from RNAcentral.